GUAGGUGGCAAGCGUUGUCCGGAAUUAUUGGGCGUAAAGCGCGCGCAGGCGGUCCUUUAAGUCUGAUGUGAAAGCCCACGGCUCAACCGUGGAGGGUCAUUGGAAACUGGGGGACUUGAGUGCAGAAGAGAAGAGUGGAAUUCCACGUGUAGCGGUGAAAUGCGUAGAGAUGUGGAGGAACACCAGUGGCGAAGGCGACUCUUUGGUCUGUAACUGACGCUGAGGCGCGAAAGCGUGGGGGAGCAAACAGGAUUAGAUACCCUGGUAGUCCACGCCGUAAACGAUGAGUGCUAAGUGUUAGAGGGUUUCCGCCCCCUUUAGUGCUGCAGCAAACGCAUUAAGCACUCCGCCUGGGGAGUACGGCCGCAAGGCUG
This 374-nucleotide ribosomal RNA is filed under the name uncultured organism. RNAcentral's name for it is "partial 16S ribosomal RNA". It matches the Rfam family "Bacterial small subunit ribosomal RNA", at positions 527 to 896 of the family's 1533-position model. The record is from RNAcentral.